GACGAACGCUGGCGGCGUGCUUAACACAUGCAAGUCGAACGGAAAGGCCCUGCUUUUGUGGGGUGCUCGAGUGGCGAACGGGUGAGUAACACGUGAGUAACCUGCCCUUGACUUUGGGAUAACUUCAGGAAACUGGGGCUAAUACCGGAUAGGAGCUCCUGCUGCAUGGUGGGGGUUGGAAAGUUUCGGCGGUUGGGGAUGGACUCGCGGCUUAUCAGCUUGUUGGUGGGGUAGUGGCUUACCAAGGCUUUGACGGGUAGCCGGCCUGAGAGGGUGACCGGCCACAUUGGGACUGAGAUACGGCCCAGACUCCUACGGGAGGCAGCAGUGGGGAAUAUUGCACAAUGGGCGGAAGCCUGAUGCAGCAACGCCGCGUGCGGGAUGACGGCCUUCGGGUUGUAAACCGCUUUCGCCUGUGACGAAGCGUGAGUGACGGUAAUGGGUAAAGAAGCACCGGCUAACUACGUGCCAGCAGCCGCGGUGAUACGUAGGGUGCGAGCGUUGUCCGGAUUUAUUGGGCGUAAAGGGCUCGUAGGUGGUUGAUCGCGUCGGAAGUGUAAUCUUGGGGCUUAACCCUGAGCGUGCUUUCGAUACGGGUUGACUUGAGGAAGGUAGGGGAGAAUGGAAUUCCUGGUGGAGCGGUGGAAUGCGCAGAUAUCAGGAGGAACACCAGUGGCGAAGGCGGUUCUCUGGGCCUUUCCUGACGCUGAGGAGCGAAAGCGUGGGGAGCGAACAGGCUUAGAUACCCUGGUAGUCCACGCUGUAAACGGUGGGUACUAGGUGUGGGGUCCAUUCCACGGGUUCCGUGCCGUAGCUAACGCUUUAAGUACCCCGCCUGGGGAGUACGGCCGCAAGGCUAAAACUCAAAGGAAUUGACGGGGCCCCGCACAAGCGGCGGAGCAUGCGGAUUAAUUCGAUGCAACGCGUAGAACCUUACCUGGGUUUGACAUGGAUCGGGAGCGCUCAGAGAUGGGUGUGCCUCUUUUGGGGUCGGUUCACAGGUGGUGCAUGGCUGUCGUCAGCUCGUGUCGUGAGAUGUUGGGUUAAGUCCCGCAACGGGCGCAACCCUUGUUCACUGUUGCCAGCACGUUAUGGUGGGGACUCAGUGGAGACCGCCGGGGUCAACUCGGAGGAAGGUGGGGAUGACGUCAAGUCAUCAUGCCCCUUAUGUCCAGGGCUUCACGCAUGCUACAAUGGCUGGUACAGAGAGUGGCGAGCCUGUGAGGGUGAGCGAAUCUCGGAAAGCCGGUCUCAGUUCGGAUUGGGGUCUGCAACUCGACCUCAUGAAGUCGGAGUCGCUAGUAAUCGCAGAUCAGCAACGCUGCGGUGAAUACGUUCCCGGGGCU
RNAcentral lists this ribosomal RNA (1346 nucleotides) under uncultured bacterium. RNAcentral's name for it is "bacterial SSU rRNA". It matches the Rfam family "Bacterial small subunit ribosomal RNA", at positions 28 to 1381 of the family's 1533-position model. The record is from RNAcentral.